RNAcentral lists this ribosomal RNA (484 nucleotides) under uncultured bacterium. RNAcentral's name for it is "partial 16S ribosomal RNA". It matches the Rfam family "Bacterial small subunit ribosomal RNA", at positions 30 to 507 of the family's 1533-position model. The record is from RNAcentral.
AUUGAACGCUGGCGGCAGGCCUAACACAUGCAAGUCGAGCGGAUGAAGGGAUCUUGCUCCUGGAUUCAGCGGCGGACGGGUGAGUAAUGCCUAGGAAUCUGCCUGGUAGUGGGGGAUAACGUCCGGAAGCGGGCGCUAAUACCGCAUACGUCCUGAGGGAGAAAGUGGGGGAUCUUCGGACCUCACGCUAUCAGAUGAGCCUAGGUCGGAUUAGCUAGUUGGUGGGGUAAAGGCCUACCAAGGCGACGAUCCGUAACUGGUCUGAGAGGAUGAUCAGUCACACUGGAACUGAGACACGGUCCAGACUCCUACGGGAGGCAGCAGUGGGGAAUAUUGGACAAUGGGUGAAAGCCUGAUCCAGCCAUGCCGCGUGUGUGAAGAAGGUCUUCGGAUUGUAAAGCACUUUAAGUUGGGAGGAAGGGCAGUAAGUUAAUACCUUGCUGUUUUGACGUUACCAACAGAAUAAGCACCGGCUAACUUCGUG